This 159-nucleotide small RNA is filed under the name Metabacillus litoralis. RNAcentral describes it as "Bacillus litoralis c-di-AMP sequence". It matches the Rfam family "c-di-AMP riboswitch aptamer (ydaO/yuaA leader)". From Rfam's summary of the family: This family represents a conserved RNA structure found upstream of the ydaO and yuaA genes in Bacillus subtilis and related genes in other bacteria. The ydaO/yuaA element is thought to act as a genetic "off" switch for the ydaO and yuaA genes in its native state. The record is from Rfam by way of RNAcentral. Lineage: Bacteria; Bacillati; Bacillota; Bacilli; Caryophanales; Bacillaceae.
CAUUCAAAAUCGCUUAAUCCUAAUUAUAGGAGCGGAGGAACCAAUGUUUGAGUCGAUCUUUCUUCGACUAGGGGUGAAUCAAACGUAAUGUUUCGUUUGUAGGGCUACUCUUUUGCCCGAAUCCGACAGCUAACUUCGUAAGCGUUAGAGAGGGAGUGA